GCUCCCGUGGUGUAGUCCGGCCAAUCAUUCCGGCCUUUCGAGCCGGCGACCCGGGUUCAAAUCCCGGCGGGAGCA
RNAcentral lists this transfer RNA (75 nucleotides) under Thermoplasmata archaeon. RNAcentral's name for it is "tRNA-Glu". It matches the Rfam family "tRNA". From Rfam's summary of the family: Transfer RNA (tRNA) molecules are approximately 80 nucleotides in length. The record is from RNAcentral. RNAcentral also lists the same sequence under 3 other names. Lineage: Archaea; Methanobacteriati; Thermoplasmatota; Thermoplasmata.